UGAGAUUGCUCAUCCUAUGUUGCUCCGAGUCUUCUUUCCUUUAAGUUCCUAUGUCUGACAUUUGUGUUGAACACAUUUUUGAUCAUGAGUGUAGGGAUAUGAUCAUCAAAAUAUGUGUAAAACUAAGAAAAAAAUGGAACCAUGGCAUAUGCAUUAUUAUAUCCGAGACACACACCUGAGUUGUUAUCAUAUGAAAUUUUCCAAUCGUUAUCAUCUUGUGUUCUCGAGCUGAGUAAAGAUGCUCGCAAUCUGGUUUAGUAGGGUGCUAUAUGUUGGCAUAUCUGCAAAAUAAGUUUGAGUUUCAGGUAAGGAACUCUGUAGAAUGAGAUAAUUUAUUUUACAAAACUUAGGUCUUUAAAAUUGUACUAAUUUUCAAUUGAUUCGACCAGGUUCAAUUCAAACAACUUUGAUUUGAGAUAGAAUUUGUAAAAACUUCAAUAUUAUUAUUAGGGUUUGUCUUUGAUACGUGAUAUAGCAUUUGGUUUGAAAGAAUUUUUUAAGUUUUCAUUUUCUAUUUUUGGAGAAUUGAAAAAUAUAUUUAAUAAAUAAAAAUAGAUUUUUUUCAAUAAUGAAAAUAGUGAAAAAUGUUUAUUUUUCAAAAUAAAAAUGAAAACAAUUAAAUAAUUAAAUUAAAAUAUAAUUUAUUAAAAAUAUAUUACAAUAGUAAAAUAAAAUGCAACAAGAUAAGAAAAGGUUUAAAGGUAAUGUUUCUAAAGAAUUUGAACUAGGGUAAAUUUAAUGCAUAAAAUGAAAAUUAAAAAAUCUCUUAUUUCCAUUUUUUUUUCUUUUUUCAAAACAUUUUUAUUGAAAAUAAUGAAAACAUGUUUCUUAUUAUUCUCUAAUUUUCAUAUAUUUUUAAUUUUCAAAAACUAUUUUUUAAAAUUUUAACCAAAUAUAUUUUCUUUACUAUUUUUCUUUUUCUAGAAAAAUAAAAAUAACCUUUAUUUCCUGAAGCUAAAUGCACUAACUUUUUUUUGUAAAAAAAAAUAAAUAAAUGCACUAAAUUUUUUCAAUUUUGGUUUAUGUGAAAUGUGAUAUUUUAAUAUUGUAUAAUUUCAUCACUUAAAUUUUUCUUAAAAAUGUAACUAUUAAGUGAUGAUGUGACACAAUAUCAUUAUAUGGACUAGAAUUGAGAAAAAAUUGUCAAGUUCUAUUAUUAAUGUGGAUAAAUACAAUUUCAAAGAUUAAGUUGGAUAAAGUUAUUAAGUUUAGAGAUUAAAUCUUAUUUUAUCUUGUAAUUAUGCUAAUAAUUAUUAUGAGUUAAAUGAUAUUAUCUCAAUUACAAAAAAUACAAUAAAAAUAAGAAAAAUUCCUUAAAUUAUAGUAAUAAAAUCAGACUACUUAUGUAGUUUUAGUUUUUUGUUUUGAAAAUUUACCCUUUUUAACAUAUUGCCUAUUUUUCUAAUAACUUCCUAAAUUUUUAAAGAUAACUAUAUAUAUAUAUACCUUUUCAAGAAAAUUUAGUGGAUGUAAUUACAGCUUCCCCUUUUUAAACAAAAUUAUCUGCUUAAAAUCACUAUUUUUUUUUCAAAAAUGUAUAUUUUGAAAAAAUUAUUAUUUUCAAAAAUACUAUUUUAUUACUGAUAGAGUGAACGUCAUGAAUUCUGGUUUAUAUAUUGUGCAUGGAUUGAAAUAUAUAAUUUUUAAUACUAGUGGCCUCAAUUUAAAACACGUGGACAGGGUGGUGGCCCAAAGCACGAUCCCAAAAUUGAUGGAUGAAAAUCGUUUGAAGGCUCAUUGUUUCUUUUUAGUUUUACCUCCCCACCUUUGAAUCUCAUUAAUUAAGUGAACCUUGUUAAGAAAACAAUAUCUAUGGUGACUCAUGUACAUGGGUCAAUUGUCAUACAGGUCAAACGAUUUUAAGAACACGACAUAUGACCUGUCAGUCACGUCCAAACACACAUGUAAGAGGUGCACUAUAACUAAAGCUUCCAAGCCUUCGUAUGUAGGCACUUGCCAAUGGAUAUAUAAGACCAUAAAUAAAAUUAGAUUGACAAUGACUGCGAGAUUUCUAUAUGGUAUUACGACAAUAUUUUUCAACAAAAUUCAACACUUUCUGAAACCUCUUAAUGUGUGAAUGGUCAUAAUCCUCCUAUCACUCAUAUUGUAUAAAAUAUUAAAAUAAAUUUAUUUUAAAAAUUAAGAUUGUAUUAUUAAUUUUUCAUUUGAAAGGUCAAUAUCUUUUAUUAUUUAGUUGAACUUUUCCCCGUUCACAUAUUUUUCAGUCUUUUUACUUGCCACCUUUAAUGGAUAAUAAUCCAAUUAUCCAAAAGAAAGGAAAGAUAAUCCAAAAUAGAAAAAAGGAUUUUUGGAUGAUAGUCUAAUGGUAUUCCACAAAACUUUAAAUGUAAGAUGCAUAAGAAUGCCAAUUUUUUAAUUUAAUUUCUAAAUUUAAAUUCCAUAAAAAACGUGAUAGUAUAAUCCUUUGAAAUUAUAUCAUAUCACCACUAAAAUAUUUAAAAAUAUAAAAUCCAAACAAAAACAAAACUUAUAGAAUAUAUAAGAAAUGGUAAUUAAAAAAAAAACAUUAGCUAAGAUGAUCUAAUCUUAAAGUGUCAAAUCAUCACAAAUUAGGGUCUGUUUGAUUGCCAGUAAAAUAUUUUCCGUAAAAUGAUUUCUGGAAAAUGUUUUACUUUUCUGUAAAAUGAUUUACUGGAAAAUAUUUUCUGGGUUUGAUUGAAUCUGUGUAAAAUAUUUUCUGUUGCUUGGCAGAUUUUUUGAAAAUAUUUUUAUAUUUUAAAUUAUUUUUACAUAGAUUUAUUUAUAAUAAUACUCAAUUAUAAAGCUACAGUAUUAAUCGUUAUAAAUUGAAAAAAACUAAUAUCAACUAAAUUAUUUGUAAUUGUGUUAAAAAAACAAGUAUUGAAUAAUUAAAAAAACAAGUUACUGGAAAAUCGAUAAACAGAAGCAGUUUUUUACCGGAAAUGAAGGAAGGAAUGAAGGAGGCGAUAGAGAGGAGAGCACGGAAAAUGUCUUACGGAAAUUGAAAGGGUAAGACAUUUUCCCUAAAAUGUAACCCAUUUUCGCUUGUUUUGGAGUUCAUUUUCCAAAUGGAAAAUGUUUUCCGCCAAUCAAACGCUGGAAAAGUUGGAAAUGAUUUUCCGGAAAAUCAAUUCCGUCAAUCAAACAGACCCUUAAUGGAAUUAAAAAUGUAUGGACCAAAUAGAGAAAAUUACCAAAUUUCAAAAAUAAUAUGAACCAAAAAAAAAUUUAAAGAUCAAAUUGAAAAAAAUACCAAAUUUAUGUACUAAAUGUUACUUUUUUUUACUAUAUAGAAUACUGCUAACUUCAAUAUGCUGAUUGCUCCAACCACGAGUAUUAUGGACCCUGCUACUUAAUGAUCAUUGUAUCAUCCACAUCUUCAUCAAGCGCGUUGAUGAUUGUUUUUUAUAAAAAGCCACCAUAAAAAAAUUAGUGAACAAAUCAUGGUGACAGCAGCUUAGCACUCACGGAUUUAUUACCCACCGUAAUUAAACAACACACAUUCGCCUUGACAUGCUAACACGUGUUUGCCCGAAAAUAUGAACAAAUUGUCUAACUGAUUUAUUUUAAAUUCAUAAUUGUUGAAAAAGUCUAAAACGAUUUGGUUCAUUCAAAAUAAAAAUUUGUUUUAAAAUUUAAUGGAUCUUUCUGUUCGGAAUCUUUUCCAAAAAAAGUAAAUACAUCGAUGUGCCAACAAACUUUAAUUUUUUAAUUGUUCUUUAAACACGUUAUCAUAUAAUUAAAUAAAUAUUUUUACAGUAUGCUACCCUAGCACGUUUGUGUCUGCCGCCUCUGGCAAGAUUUUAGGUUUUUUGUUCUUCUGUCUUUCUUUUUGGCUUACGGCGUUGUGUCCUUGAAAAUUAUUGAGAAUGAAUUAGCCCAAUUAUCGAUCAACGAAGAGGAAGAUGUUAUUAAAAUUCAAGAAAAUCCAGGUACGAAAAGAAGUGAGGAGUUUUUUCAAUUAGUGGGGUGUUUUCUUACAGCGAGUAUAAUUCACUUUCCAGCUAUGAAAAGUACUAUGGCAAAUCUAUGGCAUCCUAUUCGAGGAGUUUGCAUUCGGGAUCUGGGGGAAAAAAGGUUUUUGUUCCAAUUUUUUUCAUUUUAUGGAUAUGGAGAGGGUUUUGAAAGGCUCCCCAUGGACCUUCAAUAAUCAUCUAUUGAUACUUUAUAGACUGCGAUGGAGGGAGGAUUCGUUGCAGGUCUCUUUAGUGCUAACCCUUUUCUGGGUUCAGAUACACGAAGUGCCUAUUGGUUUGUUUUCUGAAAAUUUAGCAGUGAAUCUAGGGAAUUUUUUGGGGUAUUUUAUGGAAUAUGAUGUGUCAAAUUUAGGGAAAGAAAAUAGAAACUUUAUGAGGGUUAGGGUCCAAGUUGAUAUAAGACGUCCUUUGAAAAGAAAGAAGUUAAUCGGAUUUUGUGGAAGACAAUCAUAUGUUUGUUUUAAAUAUGAAAUAUUGACUAUUUUCUACUUCUAUUGUGGAAAACUGGGCCAUAAUGACUCGUUUUGUGAGGCAAAAAUGAUGACUGGAGUGGAAAUAGCUGAAAUGGGGAGGGAUUUAUCAAUAAAAGCACAAUCCCAAAUAGCUCUGACUAUGAAUAGUGUCUGGCAACGAGAGGAAGAGGAGGGGGGUUCAGACGGGAUUCAGGAGGCAAACAGGAGAUUUAUGAAUAGACCACAGGAAGAGUUUUGGGAAGGCUGUUGAUCCAGUUCUCAGUAUUAAUUUGGAAGGUGGUUUAUUAUGUGAUGAUGCAAAGCAGGUUAGCUCACUGACAGACCAUGGUCAACAUGCGAUGGAUCAUGACUUGGAGGAUGUAGCCUUAGUAGGAGAAGAAGGUAAAAAAAGAUCUAGAAGGGAGAGCGACGACUUAUCAAAGACUGAGGAGUUAAAUUCUCCGGCAAGAAAUAGGAGAUUAAUGGAUCUUAAUCAUUUGUCAUCGGCGGUGCCAAGAGGCAAGCCGACCGGGCAUUAUGAAAAUAAUAAGUUGGAAUGUCCGUGGAUUGGGGAGUCCACGGACAGUUAGAAGACUUCGGCACUCGCUGACGACUUGUGAUCCCCACAUAGUCUUCUUUAUGGAGACUAAACUUUGCGGAAAACAGAUGGAAAGAGUUCGACGGAGAUGUGGUUUUGUGAAUAGAAUUGAGGUGGACGCAGAGGGAACUAGAAGAGGGAUAUGUUUGGCAUGGAAGAAUGAUGUUAAUAUUUCUUUAAAAAUUUUCUUUAAAAGGCAUAUUGACGCGAUAGUCCAUGACGAUGAGAGGGAAGUUAUGUGGCGUUUUACAGGUUUCUAUGGUACCCUGUACGCACAAGAUAAAGAAGAUUCAUGGGCUGUUCUGAAAAAUCUCUCUAAUGGAGAUAAUAUACCAUAGUUAGUAUGUAGAGAUUUCAAUGAAGUCAUGAAUGGAAAUGUUUCGGAAGGCGCUGGAGUUUUGUCAAUUGAAUGAUGUGGGUUAUUCGGGCAGAUGGUUCACAUGGGAAAGAGGUAAUCUCUCAAAAACGAAUAUAUGAGAACGGUUGGAUAGGGGGUGGCAAAUAAGAAAUGAAUUUCACUAUUUUCAGACGUUAAAGCUCAACAUUUGGUUCAUUCUUUUUCUGAUCAUUGUCCCAUUUUAAUUGAUACUAAAAAGAAAACAAGACGACAAAAUGAGAAUAUAUUCGGAAUUGAAAACUGGUGGUUUUUGGAGGACUUAUUCGUUGCUGAAGCUGAGCAGCAGUGGAAGAUGACACCAGGUAAUUUUUUGCAGAAGACGAAAAUCCUAAUGAAGGGGCUGGAAAAUUGGGCUGGAAAAAUACGAAACAAGAAAAAUAGAAAAAGAAAUUUUUAACAACAAAGCUAUCUAAGCUACUCGAUGCUGAAAGGGAUGACAUUAACAUGGCGGAGAUGAUCGAUACGAAGAUUCAACUAAAUAUGGAGUUUGAGAAGGAGGAAAGAUAUUGGGAGCAAAGGGCUCGAUUGAAUUGGUUAAAAUUAGGUGACAAAAAUACAACUUUUUUCCAUAGCCAAGCAACCCAAAGGCAGAGAAAAAACAAGAUCAGGAGGUUACAAAAUGCACAUGGAAAGGAUACAAGAGAUCCUCAAGAAAUAGAAGAAAUAGCAAGAUCCUACUUCCAGAAUUUAUUUGCUUCAGAAAAUCAAGAGAAUCUCGACUAUUUACUCUUGGGUAUUGGUCGAUGUAUCUAUGAAUAGGAAAAUAAAAAGCUGACUGCGCAAUAUACAUGAGAAGAAAUCGCGAGGCUUUGUUCGAGAUGGCAUCCACUAAGGCACCAGGCGAAGAUGGAUUCCCAGCUUUAUUUUAUCAGAAGUGUUGGCAUUUUAUUGGAGAUGAUGUAGUUUCCUUCUGUCUACAACUCUUGAAUGAAGAUAUGAAGGUUAGUUCAAUUAAUACAACUCAUAUUGUGCUCGUUCCAAAAACUAAUAAUAUGGCUAAUGUGACACAUUUUAGGUCAAUUAGUUUAUGCAAUGUCAUUUAUAAAAUAAUGGCAAAAGCUAUAUAGCGAACAAAUUUAGAGGAGUGAUUGAUAAAUGCAUUGAUAGUGCACAAAGUGCCUUUGUGCCAGGAAGAUUAAUCUCAGAUAAUGUUCUACUUGCUUACGAGAUAUUGCAUUCCCUAAAAUAGAAAAGAGUGGGGAAAAAGGGCUAUAUAGCUGUAAAAUUGGACAUGAGUAAGGCUUAUGAUAGAGUUGAAUAGAAUUUUAUUAAAGAAAUAAUGUGUCAAAUGGGUUUCGCUCAAAGUUGGAUUGAUACUAUUAUGAAAUGCAUGACUACCGUUUCUUACAAGGUUGUGGUAAAUGGAAAUAUCGGGGUGACAUUCAGUUCAUCAAGGGACUUCGACAAGGUGAUCCUUUGAGUCCAUUUCUUUUCUUAAUAUGUGGGGAAGGCCUUUCCAGUCUUAUGAGAAAAGCAACAAAUGAAGGUUUUUUGAAGGGUGUCAAAGUAAGCAGAAGAGGACCACAUGUAUCACAUUUAUUAUUUGUAGAUGAUUGCAUUCUUUUUGGGGAGGCAACAUGUAGAGGGGCUAAUACAAUCAAGGAAAUCUUAAGUGAGUAUAAAAGAGGUUCGGGACAGUGUGUGAGUAUGGACAAAUCAACUAUUUUUCUCAGCAAAAAUACGACGGCAGAAGAAAGAAGUCAGGUGGUAAACUUGCUGGGAAUCCGAAGCUCAAAUGAACCAGAACGUUAUCUAGGUUUGCCGACCAUGGUAGGACGAAAAAAGAAGGCUUCUUUUCAAGCUUUGAAACAUAGACUAAGACGGCGUAUUGAUACCUGGAGCAUUAGAUUUUUAUCGCAGGGCAGGAAAGAAGUUUUCAUCAAAGCUGUAUUACAGGCCAUCCCGACAUAUUCAAUGGCUUGCUUCUUACUCCCAAAAAUUUUAUGCGGAGAAAUAGAAGGAAUUAUCGCGAAUUUUUGGUGGAAAAAGGGUCAAGGUAAAGGGGAAUUCAUUGGUGCUCUUGGAAUAAUCUUUGCAGUUUAAAAGAAAAUGGAGGUUUGGGUUUUCGUAAUCUCAGUCAGUUUAAUAUUGCGUUAUUAGCCAAACAGGGGUGGCGUCUUUUUAAUUAUCCAAAUUCACUUUUAGCCAGAGUCUUUAAAGCAAAGUAUUAUCCACAGUCUGUUUUUUUAAGUGCAGAGUUGGGGAAUUUACCUUCUCUUACCUGGAAGAGUAUCUGGGCAGUAAAGAGACUCCUCUUUCAGGGGCUAAGUUGAAGAGUUGGGAGAGGAAACAAUGUUUUCAUUUGGACAGAUCGGUGGAUUCCAGGGAUUGAACCUAGUACAUGGCAGAACGGAGAUGAAAAUAGGGAGCUAAAAACAGUAUCAGAUUUAAUUGAUGUAACAAAUAAGAAGUGGAAAACGGAGGUCAUUAUUAGUACCUUUCAAUCGGAUAUAGCUAAAAAAAUUUUGGAGAUACCACUUGCAGAAACGGACAGUGAAGACUUGCGCGUUUGGAAAGGUGAACCGACCGGAGAGUUCUCUGUACGGAGCACCUAUAAACUAUUACAAGAAGUUGAUUCAAUUUCUAAUAACUUAUUACAGACCGAUUUUAAAGAAUUCUACAGAAAGUUAUGGGAUUUACAACUUCCAUAAAAAACUCUACUGUUUGUCUGGCGAAUAUCCUGGAACUAUAUUCCUACACUAGCCAACCUACGAUACAAGCGAAUAACCACAAAUGUGAGAUGCCCUCGAUGUGGCUUCGGGGAAGAGGACAACUUUUAUGUAUUCCAGCAAUGCCUUACAAGUACUGAAGUUUAGCAUAAUAUUAACAUGGAUUGGGUUACAUCAUAUUCAGAUCAAAAUACCAGAACAUGGCUUACAUGGGUAUUUGCAAAAGGAACUAAGGAACAGUGUCAGAUGUUUUGCUGCGCUUUAUGGAUCAUAUGGAGCUCACGAAAUCAAAUGGCACAUGAAAAAAAACACGCAUCAGAAAGGGACCUUGCACAGAAAAUAGAAAGCUAUAUAGCAGAACUUGAAGAAGUGGGUAAAGAAAGACGUACCUUGAAGACUGCCAGAAUAUAGAGACAUACGGAGGACACAACACAAUUUGAUGCAGCUUUUGAUGCAAACAGGUCUAGAUCGGAGUCGGGGGUCAUUGUACGAAAUCGGAUAGGAGAGAUAAGAGUCUUAAAAACAACCCUUCAUUCCAAUGUCUCAUCUCUAUUUCUUGCAGAGGCAUUCACUUGUCUACAGGCAAUCAAGCUGGGUAUUUCACUGGGCCUCCGAUCAGUCACAAUAAGGGGAGAUUCGAAGACAAUCAUUAAAAAAUGUCAAUCGGCAGAGAUGGAUAAAUCGAUCAUUGGAGCAAUUAUGAAAGAUAUCAAGAGUCAUAGUUCGCUAUUUCAAGAAAUAGAUUUUCAGUUUAUUCAAAAAUCAAAGAACUUCCAAGCCCACAAAAUAGCGAAGGAAGCAUUAGCAAAUGGGGAAGAGAGGUACCUGGUUAGAGAUGAGUCGAUCUACAACGAAGGAGCCAUGGAAGAGGAAUGGUCAAGAAACCCGGAUUGAAGAAAAUUUCAAAAAGAAAGAGAAUUGAAAAUGGUAACAGGAUUGAAGAAAGAACGUUUUGGAAACUGUUAUCUGCCA
This 9047-nucleotide long non-coding RNA is filed under the name Gossypium raimondii (Peruvian cotton). Its description in RNAcentral is "long non-coding RNA (GRAI_LNC000850)". Lineage: Eukaryota; Viridiplantae; Streptophyta; Magnoliopsida; Malvales; Malvaceae. The record is from RNAcentral.